This 1264-nucleotide ribosomal RNA is filed under the name Curtobacterium sp. RNAcentral's name for it is "bacterial SSU rRNA". It matches the Rfam family "Bacterial small subunit ribosomal RNA", at positions 74 to 1351 of the family's 1533-position model. Lineage: Bacteria; Bacillati; Actinomycetota; Actinomycetes; Micrococcales; Microbacteriaceae. The record is from RNAcentral.
CCCAGCUUGCUGGGUGGAUUAGUGGCGAACGGGUGAGUAACACGUGAGUAACCUGCCCCUGACUCUGGGAUAAGCGUUGGAAACGACGUCUAAUACUGGAUAUGACUGCCGGCCGCAUGGUCUGGUGGUGGAAAGAUUUUUUGGUUGGGGAUGGACUCGCGGCCUAUCAGCUUGUUGGUGAGGUAAUGGCUCACCAAGGCGACGACGGGUAGCCGGCCUGAGAGGGUGACCGGCCACACUGGGACUGAGACACGGCCCAGACUCCUACGGGAGGCAGCAGUGGGGAAUAUUGCACAAUGGGCGAAAGCCUGAUGCAGCAACGCCGCGUGAGGGAUGACGGCCUUCGGGUUGUAAACCUCUUUUAGUAGGGAAGAAGCGUAAGUGACGGUACCUGCAGAAAAAGCACCGGCUAACUACGUGCCAGCAGCCGCGGUAAUACGUAGGGUGCAAGCGUUGUCCGGAAUUAUUGGGCGUAAAGAGCUCGUAGGCGGUUUGUCGCGUCUGCUGUGAAAUCCCGAGGCUCAACCUCGGGCUUGCAGUGGGUACGGGCAGACUAGAGUGCGGUAGGGGAGAUUGGAAUUCCUGGUGUAGCGGUGGAAUGCGCAGAUAUCAGGAGGAACACCGAUGGCGAAGGCAGAUCUCUGGGCCGUAACUGACGCUGAGGAGCGAAAGCGUGGGGAGCGAACAGGAUUAGAUACCCUGGUAGUCCACGCCGUAAACGUUGGGCGCUAGAUGUAGGGACCUUUCCACGGUUUCUGUGUCGUAGCUAACGCAUUAAGCGCCCCGCCUGGGGAGUACGGCCGCAAGGCUAAAACUCAAAGGAAUUGACGGGGGCCCGCACAAGCGGCGGAGCAUGCGGAUUAAUUCGAUGCAACGCGAAGAACCUUACCAAGGCUUGACAUACACCGGAAACGGCCAGAGAUGGUUGCCCCCUUGUGGUCGGUGUACAGGUGGUGCAUGGUUGUCGUCAGCUCGUGUCGUGAGAUGUUGGGUUAAGUCCCGCAACGAGCGCAACCCUCGUUCUAUGUUGCCAGCGCGUUAUGGCGGGGACUCAUAGGAGACUGCCGGGGUCAACUCGGAGGAAGGUGGGGAUGACGUCAAAUCAUCAUGCCCCUUAUGUCUUGGGCUUCACGCAUGCUACAAUGGCCGGUACAAAGGGCUGCGAUACCGUAAGGUGGAGCGAAUCCCAAAAAGCCGGUCUCAGUUCGGAUUGAGGUCUGCAACUCGACCUCAUGAAGUCGGAGUCGCUAGUAAUCGCAGAUCA